AGCGUACACGGUGGAUGCCCUGGCAGUCAGAGGCGAUGAAGGACGUGCUAAUCUGCGAUAAGCGUCGGUAAGGUGAUAUGAACCGUUAUAACCGGCGAUUUCCGAAUGGGGAAACCCAGUGUGUUUCGACACACUAUCAUUAACUGAAUCCAUAGGUUAAUGAGGCGAACCGGGGGAACUGAAACAUCUAAGUACCCCGAGGAAAAGAAAUCAACCGAGAUUCCCCCAGUAGCGGCGAGCGAACGGGGAGGAGCCCAGAGCCUGAAUCAGUGUGUGUGUUAGUGGAAGCGUCUGGAAAGGCGCGCGAUACAGGGUGACAGCCCCGUACACAAAAAUGCACAUACUGUGAGCUCGAUGAGUAGGGCGGGACACGUGGUAUCCUGUCUGAAUAUGGGGGGACCAUCCUCCAAGGCUAAAUACUCCUGACUGACCGAUAGUGAACCAGUACCGUGAGGGAAAGGCGAAAAGAACCCCGGCGAGGGGAGUGAAAAAGAACCUGAAACCGUGUACGUACAAGCAGUGGGAGCCUCUUUAUGGGGUGACUGCGUACCUUUUGUAUAAUGGGUCAGCGACUUAUAUUCUGUAGCAAGGUUAACCGAAUAGGGGAGCCGAAGGGAAACCGAGUCUUAACUGGGCGUUAAGUUGCAGGGUAUAGACCCGAAACCCGGUGAUCUAGCCAUGGGCAGGUUGAAGGUUGGGUAACACUAACUGGAGGACCGAACCGACUAAUGUUGAAAAAUUAGCGGAUGACUUGUGGCUGGGGGUGAAAGGCCAAUCAAACCGGGAGAUAGCUGGUUCUCCCCGAAAGCUAUUUAGGUAGCGCCUCGUGAAUUCAUCUCCGGGGGUAGAGCACUGUUUCGGCAAGGGGGUCAUCCCGACUUACCAACCCGAUGCAAACUGCGAAUACCGGAGAAUGUUAUCACGGGAGACACACGGCGGGUGCUAACGUCCGUCGUGAAGAGGGAAACAACCCAGACCGCCAGCUAAGGUCCCAAAGUCAUGGUUAAGUGGGAAACGAUGUGGGAAGGCCCAGACAGCCAGGAUGUUGGCUUAGAAGCAGCCAUCAUUUAAAGAAAGCGUAAUAGCUCACUGGUCGAGUCGGCCUGCGCGGAAGAUGUAACGGGGCUAAACCAUGCACCGAAGCUGCGGCAGCGACGCUUAUGCGUUGUUGGGUAGGGGAGCGUUCUGUAAGCCUGUGAAGGUGUACUGUGAGGUAUGCUGGAGGUAUCAGAAGUGCGAAUGCUGACAUAAGUAACGAUAAAGCGGGUGAAAAGCCCGCUCGCCGGAAGACCAAGGGUUCCUGUCCAACGUUAAUCGGGGCAGGGUGAGUCGACCCCUAAGGCGAGGCCGAAAGGCGUAGUCGAUGGGAAACAGGUUAAUAUUCCUGUACUUGGUGUUACUGCGAAGGGGGGACGGAGAAGGCUAUGUUGGCCGGGCGACGGUUGUCCCGGUUUAAGCGUGUAGGCUGGUUUUCCAGGCAAAUCCGGAAAAUCAAGGCUGAGGCGUGAUGACGAGGCACUACGGUGCUGAAGCAACAAAUGCCCUGCUUCCAGGAAAAGCCUCUAAGCAUCAGGUAACAUCAAAUCGUACCCCAAACCGACACAGGUGGUCAGGUAGAGAAUACCAAGGCGCUUGAGAGAACUCGGGUGAAGGAACUAGGCAAAAUGGUGCCGUAACUUCGGGAGAAGGCACGCUGAUAUGUAGGUGAAGCGACUUGCUCGUGGAGCUGAAAUCAGUCGAAGAUACCAGCUGGCUGCAACUGUUUAUUAAAAACACAGCACUGUGCAAACACGAAAGUGGACGUAUACGGUGUGACGCCUGCCCGGUGCCGGAAGGUUAAUUGAUGGGGUUAGCGGUAACGCGAAGCUCUUGAUCGAAGCCCCGGUAAACGGCGGCCGUAACUAUAACGGUCCUAAGGUAGCGAAAUUCCUUGUCGGGUAAGUUCCGACCUGCACGAAUGGCGUAAUGAUGGCCAGGCUGUCUCCACCCGAGACUCAGUGAAAUUGAACUCGCUGUGAAGAUGCAGUGUACCCGCGGCAAGACGGAAAGACCCCGUGAACCUUUACUAUAGCUUGACACUGAACAUUGAGCCUUGAUGUGUAGGAUAGGUGGGAGGCUUUGAAGUGUGGACGCCAGUCUGCAUGGAGCCGACCUUGAAAUACCACCCUUUAAUGUUUGAUGUUCUAACGUUGGCCCCUGAUCGGGGUUGCGGACAGUGUCUGGUGGGUAGUUUGACUGGGGCGGUCUCCUCCUAAAGAGUAACGGAGGAGCACGAAGGUUGGCUAAUCCUGGUCGGACAUCAGGAGGUUAGUGCAAUGGCAUAAGCCAGCUUGACUGCGAGCGUGACGGCGCGAGCAGGUGCGAAAGCAGGUCAUAGUGAUCCGGUGGUUCUGAAUGGAAGGGCCAUCGCUCAACGGAUAAAAGGUACUCCGGGGAUAACAGGCUGAUACCGCCCAAGAGUUCAUAUCGACGGCGGUGUUUGGCACCUCGAUGUCGGCUCAUCACAUCCUGGGGCUGAAGUAGGUCCCAAGGGUAUGGCUGUUCGCCAUUUAAAGUGGUACGCGAGCUGGGUUUAGAACGUCGUGAGACAGUUCGGUCCCUAUCUGCCGUGGGCGCUGGAGAACUGAGGGGGGCUGCUCCUAGUACGAGAGGACCGGAGUGGACGCAUCACUGGUGUUCGGGUUGUCAUGCCAAUGGCACUGCCCGGUAGCUAAAUGCGGAAGAGAUAAGUGCUGAAAGCAUCUAAGCACGAAACUUGCCCCGAGAUGAGUUCU
Molecule: ribosomal RNA, 2774 nt
Filed under: Escherichia coli
Lineage: Bacteria; Pseudomonadati; Pseudomonadota; Gammaproteobacteria; Enterobacterales; Enterobacteriaceae
Description: bacterial LSU rRNA
Rfam family: Bacterial large subunit ribosomal RNA
Source: RNAcentral